GUGAAUCAUCAAAUUUUUGAACGCAAAUUGCGAGGACGGGAAGGAAGGGAAGGAGGCCGGGGUGAGGGGCAGUAUUAACAAAAAUCGGUGUGGUUGGAAAGGGUGAGGGGGCCGGAGUUUGGGCUAUCUUAACUUUUUUGGUUAAGGGGCUUAAAAUUGACCUUUUUUGCGCAUUUUUAGACGUACAUAAAUUUUUUUUUUAUUCGUCUAUGGGGAAGGAGAAAAUCUUAUUAGAUGCGAGAAAAGGGUGUGGUUGCGUGUCAAGAAAAGUUUCAUGAUUUGACCUCAAAUCAGGUAGGAG
Molecule: unclassified non-coding RNA, 301 nt
Filed under: Glomeraceae sp.
Lineage: Eukaryota; Fungi; Glomeromycota; Glomeromycetes; Glomerales; Glomeraceae
Description: partial internal transcribed spacer 2
Source: RNAcentral